RNAcentral lists this ribosomal RNA (376 nucleotides) under uncultured bacterium. Its description in RNAcentral is "bacterial SSU rRNA". It matches the Rfam family "Bacterial small subunit ribosomal RNA", at positions 524 to 898 of the family's 1533-position model. The record is from RNAcentral.
UACGAGAGGUGCAAGCGUUACUCGGAAUCACUGGGCGUAAAGCGCACGUAGGCGGAUUGGUAUGUCAAUUGUGAAAUACCUGGGCUCAACCCGGGCACUGCAGUUGAAACUGCCUUUCUUGAAUGCUUGAGAGGGUGGGGGAAUACCUAGUGGAGAAGUGAAAUUCGUAGAGAUUAGGUGGAACACCGGAGGCGAAGGCGCCUGCCUGGCAAUGCAUUGACGCUGAGGUGCGAAAGUGUGGGGAGCAAACAGGAUUAGAUACCCUGGUAGUCCACACCGUAAACGAUGGAUACUAGGCGUGCGGAGAGUUAACCCUCUGCGUGCCAAAGUUCACACAUUAAGUAUCCCGCCUGGGAAGUACGGUCGCAAGACUAAA